Molecule: transfer RNA, 75 nt
Filed under: Betaproteobacteria bacterium RIFCSPLOWO2_12_FULL_62_13
Lineage: Bacteria; Pseudomonadati; Pseudomonadota; Betaproteobacteria
Also listed under: 16 other names
Description: tRNA-Thr
Rfam family: tRNA
About the family: Transfer RNA (tRNA) molecules are approximately 80 nucleotides in length.
Source: RNAcentral
GCCCAUGUAGCUCAGUGGUAGAGCACUCCCUUGGUAAGGGAGAGGUCGCGCGUUCAAUCCGCGCCAUGGGCACCA